GAUGAACGCUGGCGGCGUGCCUAAUACAUGCAAGUCGAGCGAACAGACGAGGAGCUUACUCCUCUGACGUUAUCGGCGGACGGGUGAGUAACACGUGGAUAACCUACCUAUCAGACUGGGAUAACUUCGGGAAACCGGAGCUAAUACCGGAUAAUAUAUUGAACCGCAUGGUUCAAUAGUGAAAGACGGUUUUGCUGUCACUUAUAGAUUGAUCCGCGCCGCAUUAGCUAGUUGGUAAGGUAACGGCUUACCAAGGCAACGAUGCGUAGCCGACCUGAGAGGGUGAUCGGCCACACUGGAACUGAGACACGGUCCAGACUCCUACGGGAGGCAGCAGUAGGGAAUCUUCCGCAAUGGGCGAAAGCCUGACGGAGCAACGCCGCGUGAGUGAUGAAGGUCUUCGGAUCGUAAAACUCUGUUAUUAGGGAAGAACAAAUGUGUAAGUAACUAUGCACGUCUUGACGGUACCUAAUCAGGAAGCCACGGCUAACUACGUG
RNAcentral lists this ribosomal RNA (497 nucleotides) under uncultured bacterium. RNAcentral's name for it is "partial 16S ribosomal RNA". It matches the Rfam family "Bacterial small subunit ribosomal RNA", at positions 28 to 507 of the family's 1533-position model. The record is from RNAcentral.